GAUUUAUCGAGAAAGGUGGAGGGAUUUGGCCCUGAGAAACCUUAGCAACCGACAUUUUCUGAUGAAAAGGUGCUAAUUCCAACCCGAUUGGGGGAAGAUAAGUG
Non-coding RNA from Chryseobacterium gambrini, 104 nucleotides. The record is from Rfam. Lineage: Bacteria; Pseudomonadati; Bacteroidota; Flavobacteriia; Flavobacteriales; Weeksellaceae.